CCCACUCUCGCUCCCCGCUUCUACAGUGGGUAGGCAGACCCUCCUCUCUCCCUCCUCCCCCUCCGCUCCUCAUCUCCACUUGAGAAGAAGAAGAACACAGCAGGCAGAAAAAGGAAAAAAGAAAUAUAGUUUAGUUUAUCCUUUUCGUUUAUCUCUUUGAUUGACGGAUCAAGAACCGGGGAGGGAGAUUGGAGGGGGAGGAGGAGGAGCAAUCGGAGGGAGAAGUAUAAAUUCGCAGGAAGAGACGAGGGAUUCGGCGUGGAUAGAUAGAUAGAUAAAUCAGUUCUCGCAUCGGUUUAUUGAUUGCUCAUUAACCCAGCAUUCCCGCCGCUGCCAUUCUUGGGAGGAGUCAGCAUGGUUCCGUCCGGGUACGACUGCGCCGCCUCCGUCCUGCUCUGCGCCGAGGACAACGCCGCCAUCCUCGGCCUCGACGACGACGAGGAAGACUGCUCCUGGGCGGCGGCGGCCGCCACCCCGCCGCGCAUCGCCGCCGAUGCCGCCGCGGCGGCGGAGGGGUUCCUGGUGGACCACCCCGUGCAGUCCGAUGAGUGCGUGGCGGCGCUCGUCGAGACGGAGAAGGAGCACAUGCCCGCCGACGGGUACCCCCAGAUGCUGCUGCGCCGGCCCGGGGCCCUGGAUUUGGCCGCCGUCAGGAGGGACGCCAUAGAUUGGAUUUGGAAGGUCAUUGAGCAUUUCAAUUUCGCGCCGUUGACUGCGGUCCUGUCUGUCAACUACCUUGAUAGGUUCCUCUCCGUCUAUCCCCUUCCUGUAAGUCUUAUUACCAUCAUCAUCUCAGUAGCAACUGAAGCAAACCCUGCUAAAAUCCCUUAAUCACGGAGGAGUUAAUCGACGGUUUUCGAUUGACAGGUGGUUGAGGCAAAUUCUGCGUUCGAGGGGAAGACCAUAAAAAGGAUGGAGCUUUUGGUGCUCAGCACCUUAAAAUGGAGGAUGCAAGCUGUUACUGCUUGCUCAUUUAUUGACUACUUCCUGCGCAAAUUCAAUGAUCAUGACGCGCCCUCCAUGCUCGCAUUCUCCCGCUCGACCGACCUCAUCCUGAGCACAGCUAAAGGAGCUGAUUUUUUGGUGUUCAGACCUUCAGAGAUUGCUGCAAGUGUCGCACUUGCCGCAUUUGGGGAGCGCAAUACUUCAGUAGUCGAGCGGGCUACAACUACUUGCAAGUUCAUAAACAAGGAGCGAGUGUUAAGAUGCUACGAAUUGAUUCAAGACAAGAUAGCAAUGGGAACCAUUGUCCUAAAGUCAGCUGGAUCAUCAAUGUUCUCUGUGCCGCAAAGCCCGAUAGGCGUGUUGGAUGCUGCUGCAUGUCUCAGCCAACAGAGUGAUGAUACUGCUGUUGGAUCUCCAGCAACAUGCUACCAAGCCUCUUCGGCAAGCAAAAGGAGGAGAAUUGGCAGAUGACCGGUCUCAUGUCGUGCUGUGCUUCAGGUGUGUUGCUCACCGUUUUGGCUGUUUUGUUGUUUCAAACAUCUCAAUUCAGUUUGGUCACUCGAGAACUAUAGUGUGGUCAAGUAGUUGCUGGAAGGAACAAAAACACCAUAGUCAAUACUUGACCCAUAAAAACAAACAGUUCGCCGCGAGCCUGUUCAUGCAAUCGACAUAUGUAAGGGGCAUGCUAAGCUGUUAGUGUCCUGAGAUGCAUGCUAGUGUAGGCAGAGAUGGAGCAAGGAAGUUGCAUGUUGUAGAGAUGAGAGCUCUAUUGCCCUAUUUUGUAUUUCGGUUCCAUAUUCAGUUUCUAAUGAACUUUGGGCAAGGGCUGCUCUGAUCAUUGAGGCGGUGAAUGAAAAUGAUCCUAAAACGGAUCGGCUGAGAUACAGAACAGUUUAUAUUUGUUCUGAUGAGUUAUAAAUUUUGUCGACAUUA
Triticum aestivum (bread wheat) is the source of this 1878-nucleotide RNA transcript. It is a transcript of the gene named cyclin-D3-1-like, with no coding region annotated. The transcript is spliced from 4 exons. The record is from RefSeq and is a predicted model, not a curated record. NCBI's taxonomy places the organism in Eukaryota, Viridiplantae, Streptophyta, Magnoliopsida, Poales, Poaceae.